UACGUAGAUGGCAAGCGUUAUCCGGAAUUACUGGGCGUAAAGCGCACGCAGGUGGCCUGUUAAGACUGACGUGAAAGCUCCUGGCUUAACUGGGAGAGGUCGUUGGAGACUGGCAGGCUUGAGGCGAGGAGAGGGGUGUAGAAUUCCCGGUGUAGUGGUGGAAUGCGUAGAGAUCGGGAGGAAUACCAGUGGCGAAAGCGGCACCCUGGCCUUGGCCUGACGCUCAGGUGCGAAAGCGUGGGGAGCGAAC
Molecule: ribosomal RNA, 250 nt
Filed under: uncultured bacterium
Lineage: Bacteria
Description: partial 16S ribosomal RNA
Rfam family: Bacterial small subunit ribosomal RNA
Source: RNAcentral